CCUACGGGAGGCUGCAGUGGGGAAUAUUGCACAAUGGGGGAAACCCUGAUGCAGCGACGCCGCGUGAGUGAAGAAGUAAUUCGUUAUGUAAAGCUCUAUCAGCAGGGAAGAAAAUGACGGUACCUGAGUAAUAAGCCCCGGCUAACUACGUGCCAGCAGCCGCGGUAAGACGUAGGGGGCAAGCGUUAUCCGGAUUUACUGGGUGUAAAGGGAGCGUAGACGGCAGUGCAAGUCUGGAGUGAAAGGCGGGGGCUCAACCCCCGGACUGCUCUGGAAACUGUACGGCUGGAGUGCAGUAGAGGUAAGUGGAAUUCCUAGUGUAGCGGUGAAAUGCGUAGAGAUUAGGAGGAACACCAGUGGCGAAGGCGGCUUACUGGACUAUGACUGACGUUGAGGCUCGAAAGCGUGGGGAGCAAACAGGAUUAGAUACCCUUGUAGUC
This 440-nucleotide ribosomal RNA is filed under the name uncultured bacterium. RNAcentral describes it as "partial 16S ribosomal RNA". It matches the Rfam family "Bacterial small subunit ribosomal RNA", at positions 338 to 795 of the family's 1533-position model. The record is from RNAcentral.